This 487-nucleotide ribosomal RNA is filed under the name uncultured bacterium. RNAcentral describes it as "bacterial SSU rRNA". It matches the Rfam family "Bacterial small subunit ribosomal RNA", at positions 8 to 518 of the family's 1533-position model. The record is from RNAcentral.
AGAGUUUGAUUAUGGCUCAGGAUUAACGCUGGCGGCGUGCCUAACACAUGCAAGUCGAACGAAAUAUCUUCGGAUAUUUAGUGGCGAACGGGUGAGUAAUGUACAGGUAAUGUACCUUCGUACUGCGAAUAACAAGCUGAAAAGUUUGCUAAUACGGAAUAGUUUCAUUAGGGGGCAUCCUUUGAUGAAUAAAGAUUUAUCGUGCGGAGAUCAGCCUGUAUCCUAUUAGUUAGUUGGUGGGGUAAUGGCCUACCAAGACGACGAUGGGUAACUGGUCUGAGAGGAUGAGCAGUCACAUUGGAACUGAGAUACGGUCCAAACUCCUACGGGAGGCAGCAGUGAGGAAUUUUGCGCAAUGGGGGAAACCCUGACGCCAGCAACGCCGUGUGAGUGAAGACGGCCUUCGGGUUGUAAAGCUCUGUCGUGUAUGACGAGUAGGGACGGUAAUACACAAGGAAGCCUCGGCUAACUACGUGCCAGCCGCCGC